Long non-coding RNA from Solea solea (common sole), 3372 nucleotides. RefSeq lists it as uncharacterized. The transcript has 3 exons. Lineage: Eukaryota; Metazoa; Chordata; Actinopteri; Pleuronectiformes; Soleidae. The record is from RefSeq and is a predicted model, not a curated record.
UCCGUCUGUCUUGUGUGUCUGGUCUCUGUCAGUCUGUCCUGUGUGUCGGAUUUAGUCACUUUUUUAGUCUCAACUUAAAUGGAUGAUUUUAAAGUUGAUUAGUCUCAAGGCGUCUGAUUUCUGCAGGAAAUUCUGGUACUUAUUUUUGAAAUGGCUUGUAAUUUUGGUCUUGAAUCUGUUAUAGUUGCAACUUGGACUGUUGACAAACGUGGAAGCUGAUGAAUCAUGUGGUAAAUGCAUCAUAGUUUACUGUAGCUUGUCUAAAGUUCUUUCAAAGUGCUGUAAAAAUGUAGUAAUUGAUUAUGAUGAGCUAUACCAGGUCUUCCUUUAUUAUCAACUGGUAAUUGCUUUGAUAAGAUAACUGGUUCCUGAUUUGAUUAUGAAGCUAAACUUUUGAUUUAUGUGUAGUCACAUUAGAUUGUAGGUGUUAUUCAGCCCAUGGAUAAUGUUAUGAUAUACUUUAAAUCUGGCAUUUGUUGGCACACUUUUGUUAUCCAUUUGUCUUAAACUUUACGCACUGCUGUCAGCCGUUAACUAAAAUCAAAUUCAAUAUUAAUGCUGACUUGUCUCAAUCUGCCAAGUUUAUUUCCCUCUAAAGGAGUUGAACCUUUUUGGGUUCAUAGUCUUUUUGCGCGUCAUGUUGGGAGGCCUCCCAGCAGGGGAUCUUAUCUUCCCCUGCUAAACUAUGCGUUACUCGCCUUAGGGAUGCAGGGCUAUCCUGCAUAGUUUCUUUCAUAAAUUAGAUUAUAGGUUGCAGGAUUAGAGCGCGUUUCUUUUCUUUAGGAGGACACAAACCUGGCAGAGAGACAACUCGGAUUAUGUAAGUGAAAGUUGGCUUCAUGGUAAAGACUGUUGUGCAAGUACCCUCUUGUAGCAGGAGUGAGCAGCUGCAGCUUUUUGAUUUAUUUUUCGUUAUUUGAUUUGUUUCUUGGAUUGACUUGGUGUCUGGAACUUUGUGGUUAACAGUGAUCAUGUAAACGUGUAAACACAAGUGGUCUUUUGCCUCUUAUUUGCGAAGCUGGCAGCUGGUUGAAAUGAUAGGACUUUAUGGCUUGCCCAGAGUGGGAUUUUUAAUAGAGCAUAGGGUUAACACCUCACCAUACACUAGCUAUUUCAGCCUAAACGUGUCUGUAGUCCGUUAUUACCCAUGACUUUCUUUCAAAUUUCACAAUUUAGGCAGCUUGUAGAGUCAUUAGGAAGAUGCUUAAUCCCAAUGUCCUCGUUGGUUGCAUGAGAAACUGCUAUCUCUUAGAUGUGUUGGCGAAGUUCCUCCUCUGAUUUUGUAGACUUGCCCUAAAGUUUCUCUCUGCUUUAACUCUUGUUGAGCUAUGCAUUAAAUGGUUCCUCCAACUUGUCUCCAUAUCAAUUUUUUUCUCCCUGCAGCCUUCCACCACCCACUGCUGCUGUUGCAUCUGCUAAAGGUAGCCGUAUCCUGAUUCACUGCGUCUUCAUGUGUUGGGUAAGAAGUGUCAUUAGACUACUAACAAUGUAAACACCUUUAAAAUGCUUGAUCUAAUUUACCCAAAUGCUUCAUCAGUUUAGGAUAGAAAAUCCUUGAGUUUGACAUUGUUGGGGUCAGUAACCUGACCUCUAAAUGUUUGGGAAACCAUGCAAAAGAUCGCAAGCUCUCUGCAUGACCCAACAGCAUUGAUGUUUGAGUUAUUUAAUUGCUCAAUUUUUAAAUCAGUCAAGAUUUUAUGAGCUGGGUCUUCUUCACACAACAGAGAACAAGGUAAAUCGAGUCGACUCGUAACAUGGUAAGGCAUUUCGUCUUUCUCCUUCUUCUCUUUGUGUGAGGAAAUCUGGCCACGGAUCCUGACUGAGUGGCAUACCAUGGCUGUGCAGUUUCCAAAAUCAGAUAAGGAUCCAUCUGAUUUUGUGACUCGGCUUGUCAUGAUAUGCAUGUAUCUUCCUCCGAAACAAAGGAUUGGAAUGGACAGGUUUGUAGUGUAAAUCACAUCACAUCACUUGUAGAUGGUGAAGCAUUUGUUUAAAUUGGAGUCAAGCAUUUUCAGGUGUCUGCUUUGUCAAUACUCUGGUGCCACGUCUUGCUAAACACACGAGAAGCUCUGAAUUGUGAAACUGCUGCCUCUUGCAGAUGUUACAACAGCAAUGGCUGUUGAAAGGCUGCAGGGAGAGAAAAUGAGAUCUGAGGACAGGAAAGUGGAAUUGAUUUCAUGCUUAGCAAAAUGAGGGUUUCAGCAGAGGAACUUUUUGUGGCGAGGCUACGGAAUCAGAAGGAACGUUUGUCUGGGCAACUGGGAGAUUUACAGUUUUUCUUGCAGCCGACCAAGACAUUGGGGUUAGCAUCAUCCCAAAUGGCUGGCAAAGAUUGCUUGUAACUGUCAGUGUAGCACAGGAAAGGCAGGUAUAGGUUAGGGAGGGCAUUCAUCAGUGAGCUCUGACUGGAUGUGAGGACCUGUCACACUUGACCAGAGAUGAAAGCUGCAACACAUUCCUGGAUCAGAGGACUCAAUGUUGGACACCACGACCUGGAGAAGUCCCAUCCUGGAUGGCUGCGGUGAAGACCUAGCCCAAGAUGAACCAACCCUUCCACGACGAGGACUUUGCCCAAGAUGAACCGACCCUUCUACGACGAGGACUUCGCCCAAGAUGAACCGACCCUUCUACGACGAGGACUUCGCCCAAGAUGAACCGACCCUUCUACGACGAGGACUUCGCCCAAGAUGAACCGACCCUUCUACGACGAGGACUUUGCCCAAGAUGAACCGACCCUUCUACGACGAGGACUUCGCCCAAGAUGAACCAACUUUUUCCACGGGAUGUCUUCAGAUGUUGGACCUUGCCAAACUGUACACGUGCCUCAAUGGCUGCUACUUCACUCUGCCCAACAGGACAUGGUUAAAUGGACUUCAACCCCCACAACCACACAUGACAAAACACUGUACAUGUGACGCAUCGCCAUACUAAAAUACAGACACUGCUACUUUCAGCCUGCUUCAGUCUGUAAAAGAUUGGAAGCCCUCUGCAUGACCCAACAGCAUCGAUGUUUGAGUUAUUUAAUUGCUCCAUUUUUAAAUCAGUCAAGAUUUUAUGAGCUGGGUCUUCUUCACACAACAGAGAACAAGGUAAAUUGAGUCGACUCGUAACAUGGUAAGGCUUUUCGUCCUUCCCCUUCUUCUCUGUGUGUGAGGAAAUCUGGCCACAGAUCCUGACUGAGUGGCAUACCAUGGCUGUGCAGUUUCCAAAAUCAGACAAGGAUCCAUCUGAUUUUGUGACUCGGCUUGUCAUGAUAUGCACGUAUCGUCCUCCUGAUGGUGUAUAGACACUGCUACUUUCAGACUGUAAUGUUUGACAUUGAAAACUUGUGUUUAUUGCAUUCUUAAAAUCAAGUAAAACUUUUGUUCUUAA